RNAcentral lists this unclassified non-coding RNA (339 nucleotides) under Hevea brasiliensis (rubber tree). Lineage: Eukaryota; Viridiplantae; Streptophyta; Magnoliopsida; Malpighiales; Euphorbiaceae. The record is from RNAcentral.
GGAGAACUGAUGACCUCCUCUGUUCUCCCUAUGGUGUCUGUCGUCCCGUUAUUAUUGAUGAUUGCAUCAGAGCAAAUUUCUCCAGGGCUAGAUUGGUUCUGGUAUUGCUCAUAACAUUCACUGGCAAUGCCAGUAGAGCCCGUAUGUGGAGUAGAAUAGGAGCUUGGACUAGGAGAGAAAGCAGAAGAAAUUGGAGAAGAUUCUGACAUGAAGGCUGGAUUCUGCCUACCCUCGAUUAUGUCUCUGUAGUGAACCAAAACAAUGUGGUCGUACCCAGGAUCCAACAUCCAAUAGCUACGUCUCUGGAAGUUAGGAUUUUGCUCUCCAUGUGCAUAAUAA